Molecule: long non-coding RNA, 2404 nt
Organism: Acipenser ruthenus (sterlet)
Lineage: Eukaryota; Metazoa; Chordata; Actinopteri; Acipenseriformes; Acipenseridae
Exons: 4
Source: RefSeq, a predicted model, not a curated record
GCUACUCUACUUGAAAUACUGAGAAAUAAAUUCAAAAAAGAGAGAAAGACGAGGAAGGAAGCGUGCACCAGAGCAACAGCAACCGCUCAUGGAAAAGAGAAGAGAAUCUAUGCAAAGUGAGGAGUUCCCAGGAGAAGACGAGCAUAGUACUGUACACACUCGGGAAAGAAUGAUGGAGAAGAAGUCCACUGAAGAAGUCCUUGGUCUGUUUCCAUUCCUAAAGCAUCCUAAACUGGUAGGUACUAGUUUUUAUUCUACUAUGGUGAUUGAUCAGAAAUUUAUAUUUUUAGUUAUAAGCAUGUAUAAUCACUUUAAUUAGUCCUCCUAGGUGACCUUUCUGCAUCAGCAAUCCACCUGCUCCAGCUUUUACAAAACUCCACUGCUCCUGGUUUUUCCCAUGCAACUUCUUUCUGCUCGCAUUCAGUUUAGUUUGAUUUUGUUUUAUUUAUUGAUUUUUUUAACUACUACAUUAUUUGUAAGUAUUCAACUCUUUACAGCUGUGUAUAUCACCUUGGAUAAAGGCAUAUGAUAAAUAAAUAAAUAAAUAUAAUAAUAAUAACUUUAGCAUCUGUAUUUUAGCUGUUGCACGAAGUAGAACUACGUUUUGGAGUAAACUUGGAACGGAACCUAAUGAGUGGCUGUGGCAAAGUGCCCCGCCCCUGUGUGCAUUUGUGUGAUCUGUGUUGUAUGUUGCGUGCGUGUGUUAAUGUUGGUGUAUAGAUUGGUACACGGGAUAUAAACGGGUCUGUGUUUCACGUGUGUUUAAAAAGUGUAGAUUUGUAUUUAGGCACGAGGAGAGCACAAAUCACUUCACGUGCUGGUUAAAUGUAAUAUGUGAGCACGGGGUUGCACAGAAUUAAUUCACGUGCUGGGAUUCAAGUGAAUAAUUAAUUAGUAAUUGAAUCCCAGCACAACAGUAUAUAUAGAGACACGUAGCACUCAGUCGGGGGUUGGGUGUUCGGUGAGUGGAGAACGGGAGAGAGAAGGAGAAAUAAAGUAAAAGAACGUAACGUAAAAAUAGUGUUUUCACUCACCGUGUUUGUUUGUUUGUCUGUGCAUCCACCGUUUGUGUGUUAGUACGUUUUGUUUGUCCUUUUAUUUUGGCGUGUAGUGCCGUGUCCAGUGUUUUUGUCUGUUCCAACCUUUUAUUUUCUGUUCUGUUUAUUAAAUGCUGAACGCGAUCACGCGUUCAGCCUCACCAAAACCCCAUCUCUCUGUCGUUUGUGUUCCUGUUUCUGGUCUGACGCCACCCACUCCGGCCGUCUUUGUGACAGUGGCCUAUCCAGAAUGGUAGAUCCUAUUUUCAGACUUUCUAGUGGGCAUCUUCUAACUACUGUGAUGUCCUACAUUGAAGAUGCUUCAGAUAAGACACAGGAAAAUGGACUAAGAAUGAAUGCUGCAUUGUUGCUGUUGCCAGCUUUGUUUCGAGAGAGGGAAAAUCUGUUGUUUGUUGUUGACCAAGUACCGCCAGCACCUACGCCAACUAUCAUUUUCAAGGGAACAACAAGCCCAUUGGCAGCAGAUGACAUCUCUGUUUGUGUUGAUGGAAUUGAGAUACUCAGUGAUUAUCCAGGAAUGGAUAUCACCCUUGCUGUUGAAUGUAUUUUUUCUCUUUAUUUUUCCUUGGGCAUUGAGUAUCCUAAAGCUCUAAAAAAUGUUCUGACUUUCAUGGAAAGGUACUUCAUGAAGCUGAGUACCUCUGACAAAGUACCUUUGCCAGUGUUAAAGAUGUACAGUCAAAUAACUGCACUUUUACUUGGGGAAUAAUUAUAUUGAUCUGAUGGAAUGCCAUUUUAACAUUUAAAAUUAAUUUAUUGUGUCAACUAUUUAAUUUGAUUACAAAAACAGAAUGUUUGAUAUAAAAAUGUAAUUGUACAUAUCAAAAAAAGUAUUUAUUUUAAAUGUAAAUGGCUGAUUAGAAAAUUAAUUGUUUAUAACAAAUGUAAAUUGUUUUUAAUAGAAGUUUUGAUCUAAAAAAACUAAUAAACAUUCAGUCUUAAUUUAUAGAUAUCAUAAACUCAUAAUAAGCUCUGAUCUAAAUACUGUACUGUAGCUCUUCUAAUUUGUGCCACCAAAAAAUGAAUAAGAAAAAAGAAACCCAUGUUCAUCAGUUUCAAUAUACAUUUUAUCUCAGCUUUUUCAAGGUCUAUUACAUGUUCUUGAAAAUGUAUUUUGUGUAAGUUUCAGGAAAAUCUGUGGGAUGCAUAGAUUUAUUUUCCAGUUUGCUGCGAGACCCUUUUUUUCACUGUGUAAAUAAUAUGGUUUAAUUAUUAAAAACACACAGGUUGAAUAAAACUGUGUAAAACUGUAUAUAACUAAACCUGAAACUGAAACUACUCUAAUGGUUUAACCUGUAAAAACAAUAAAUUGUUAUAUAAAUGUUUAAUAAAUAAAUUGUUGGCAU